RNAcentral lists this ribosomal RNA (493 nucleotides) under uncultured bacterium. RNAcentral's name for it is "partial 16S ribosomal RNA". It matches the Rfam family "Bacterial small subunit ribosomal RNA", at positions 29 to 523 of the family's 1533-position model. The record is from RNAcentral.
AAUGAACGCUGGCGGCGUGCCUAACCCAUGCAAGUCGAGCGAGAAAUCCCUUCGGGGUGAGUAAAGCGGCGGACGGGUGAGUAACACGUGAGAAUCUGCCUCGUAGUGAAGAAUACCUUUGAGAAAUUAAAGUUAAUGCUGCAUGAGCCCUUCGGGGGAAAGACGUCUUUUAUGUCGUCGCUAUGAGAUGAGCUCGCGGACUAUCAGCUAGUUGGUGGGGUAAAGGCCUACCAAGGCUAGGACGGUUAACCGGCCUGAGAGGGUGUACGGUCACAUAGGCACUGAGAUACGGGCCUAACUCCUACGGGAGGCAGCAGGGGGGAAUAUUGCACAAUGGGCGGAAGCCUGAUGCAGCCAUGCCGCGUGUAUGAGGAAGGCCUUCGGGUUGUAAAGUACUUUCAGUUGUGAGGAAGUAUUUAGGGUGAAUAGCCUUAUAUAUUGACGUUAGCGACAGAAGAAGCACCGGCUAACUCCGUGCCAGCAGCCGCAGUAA